GUCAAAGUUGCAAUUAUUUUUGUUUGCUUGGCUCUGCCCAGUAGAGCGAAAAAUAAGAAGGCGCUGUUGAAUUGUUAUUACUUAUUAGAGCUUUAGCUUACAACUAAAAGAUUCAUCCCCCAAAAACAUACAUGUUAAAUUAAAGGCCUGUUUAGGUAAUGACUGAUAAUUGCAAGGAUAUGCAAGUUAGUCUAACUUGAAAUGAAAUUCAUUUGUCUAGUUGACAUCUACAAUAGUAAAGGAUGUACAAAAGAUUUCCAGUUUAAUUUUAUUUGCACAUUAUGCGCAAGUAUGGUGCUAUUCAAUCAUCAAGGAGGAAAAUAAAUAAGUGAUCCAGGAUGGAGUUCUAGUGGGCUAGUCCUUUAAUAGAUUGUUUUAUAUAUGUCCUAUAUAAUUUUCCACAUUAUAUAGCCUAGAAGAAUCCAUAUGU
This 430-nucleotide unclassified non-coding RNA is filed under the name Hevea brasiliensis (rubber tree). Lineage: Eukaryota; Viridiplantae; Streptophyta; Magnoliopsida; Malpighiales; Euphorbiaceae. The record is from RNAcentral.